CAGUCGCCGCGGUAAUACGAAGGGUGCAAGCGUUAAUCGGAAUUACUGGGCGUAAAGCGUGCGUAGGCGGUGAGUUAAGUCUGCUGUGAAAUCCCCGGGCUCAACCUGGGAAUGGCAGUGGAUACUGGCUCGCUAGAGUGUGUCAGAGGGGGGUAGAAUUCCACGUGUAGCAGUGAAAUGCGUAGAUAUGUGGAGGAAUACCGAUGGCGAAGGCAGCCCCCUGGGAUAACACUGACGCUCAUGCACGAAAGCGUGGGGAGCAAACAGGAUUAGAUACCCCCGUAGUCCCUGUCUCUUAUAC
Molecule: ribosomal RNA, 301 nt
Filed under: uncultured bacterium
Lineage: Bacteria
Description: partial 16S ribosomal RNA
Rfam family: Bacterial small subunit ribosomal RNA
Source: RNAcentral